AUGAACGCUAGCUACAGGCUUAACACAUGCAAGUCGAGGGGCAGCAUGAAUCAAGCUUGCUUGAUUGAUGGCGACCGGCGCACGGGUGCGUAACACGUAUCCAAUCUACCCAUGGCUCAGGGAUAGCCUUUCGAAAGAAAGAUUAAUACCUGAUGGUUUCAUGAGCCCGCAUGGACUUAUGAAUAAAGAUUUAUCGGCGAUGGAUGAGGAUGCGUCCGAUUAGAUAGUAGGCGGGGUAACGGCCCACCUAGUCGACGAUCGGUAGGGGCUCUGAGAGGAGGAUCCCCCACAUUGGAACUGAGACACGGUCCAAACUCCUACGGGAGGCAGCAGUGAGGAAUAUUGGUCAAUGGGCGAGAGCCUGAACCAGCCAAGUAGCCGUGAGGGAUGACUGCCCUAUGGGUUGUAAACCUCUUUUGUUUGGGAAUAAAGUGAGCCACGUGUGGCUUUUUGUAUGUACCUUACGAAUAAGCAUCGGCUAAUUCCGUGCCAGCCGCCGC
This 500-nucleotide ribosomal RNA is filed under the name uncultured bacterium. RNAcentral describes it as "bacterial SSU rRNA". It matches the Rfam family "Bacterial small subunit ribosomal RNA", at positions 29 to 518 of the family's 1533-position model. The record is from RNAcentral.